UACGAGGGGGGCAAGUGUUGUUCGGAAUCACUGGGCGUAAAGGGAGCGUAGGCGGAUGCUUGUGUCGGAUGUUUAAAACCGGGGCCCAACCCCGGCGUGGCAUUCGAAACUGGGCAUCUUGAAUGGGACAGAGGCCGGUGGAAUUGGAGGUGUAGCGGUGGAAUGCGUAGAUAUCUCCAAGAACACCCGUUGCGAAGGCGGCCGGCUGGGUCCACAUUGACGCUGAGGCUCGAAAGCAUGGGGAGCAAACAGG
RNAcentral lists this ribosomal RNA (253 nucleotides) under uncultured bacterium. RNAcentral's name for it is "partial 16S ribosomal RNA". It matches the Rfam family "Bacterial small subunit ribosomal RNA", at positions 524 to 776 of the family's 1533-position model. The record is from RNAcentral.